GCGUCGCCCUCCUCGUCCGCCGCUCCUCCGCCACGCUCUAGGCAAUGGAGGCGCCCCCGCCUCCCUCCUGAUUUCAGUGAUGGUGUUGCUCGCAGUUGUCCUGCCCUGCCGGCACCCUCCUAUCCUCCAAGGGCGUCCACAGCGAAGUGCAAGCGCUGAUUGGGAUUGAGAGCCUGCUCAUGGACACCCAGAGCUUGGACCUAUGAUUGUUCGGUUUCUGUAGGUGCCAUACUACCUUGGUGAGAUGACUGAACAAGUAGAGCAGGAGGACCAAAUGCCAGUUCAGCUGCAAAGAGGUGCUAUUAUAGAGCUGUUGUGCAGAGAGGUGGUGCUGACGGGACAAGCCCUUCAAGAAUGAUAGCGGAAAUUUAGAAUUUUUGCUAUUCUUUUUAUUGACUUGUCCAAGCUGUAAUGACAGCAAAAAUUCAUGAAGUGUGCAUUGACAUGAAGCCACCCAGGUUGUUUAUGAUAUAAGGCUGUGAAGAUUUGGCUAAUGGAGAUAAAAGAGCAACAGGAUGCUCUGCCAAAGCAUGCUAAUCAUGCCCUCCUUGGAUCUGACUUCAAGAAGGUCGAAUUGUCGAAGCGCUUGACAGGUUGACUAAAAACAAGAUCUGGAAGCACCAUUUUUCUUGUGGCGCGACGGGUUCAGGCGGCUCAACAACAUUUGGAACAGGCGGAACUGCCAGCGAGCUGAGAUAGAGCUGAGACGAGAAGGCGACGUUGCCAAGGAGAUGAGACAGUGCUGCUGGCGAGAAGACGAUGUUGUCGGCGAGCUGUGCUGGAGCGGCCAGCGAGAAGCCUGGAGAUGCCCUGAGCGUGGAGGUGCUAGCUAUGGUCCUGGGCGUUCCCGGCGGUAUGGUGCUCUGCUCGGUGGGUGCUGAGCAUGCGUGGACGCCGACGAGCUACUUGCUGGCGGCCGGCAUGGCGCUUCUGCUGGGAGCCUACGGUCGGCCUCCAUGAGGUUUUCCGAUGGAUUCCGGCGGCGGCGGCGCG
This is a non-coding RNA of Lolium perenne, 993 nucleotides long. Lineage: Eukaryota; Viridiplantae; Streptophyta; Magnoliopsida; Poales; Poaceae. The record is from RefSeq and is a predicted model, not a curated record.